AUGGAUCAGAAUACCUAUGUCAGUUCUUGAGAGCACUUCUUUGCAUUGCACGCAAGUGGUUGUGGUUUCCUAGGGAGUGCUCUUGGAGAUGUGUCUGUGGGGAAAGGAGGAAGGCAGGAUUUGGCAGAGGGAAAAGGUUGUGACUAAGAUCUCCUAUGAUCCUGUGUCAGUUACCUUUCCAUCAUUGUGACAAAAUACCUGUGAAAAACAAGUUAAAGGAGAAAAGAUUUAUUUUGGCUCAUGGUUUAAGAAGUGUCAGUCUGUGGUCAGCUGGCUCCAUUGCUUUCAGGCCUGUGGCAAGGCAGAAACAUCAUGCUAGAAGGGCAUGGCAGAGGAAAGUUGCUUACCUCGUGGCAGCCAGGGAAUGGGAGAAGGGGCUAGGGACAGGAUAUAGUCCCCAAGGGCAUGCCCCCAAGGACCCACACCCUUCAAAUAGGUCUCACCUCCUACAGUUUGUACUACCUCCCAACAGUCCAUUUGUCUAUGACUCUUACAUCAGUACCUUAAUCCAUAGAUGAGUUUAGGCCUCCAUGAGACCCUUCCCAAAGGUCUCACUUCUGAACACUGUUGGGAAUCAUGCCUUUAACACAUGAGCCUUGGAGAACAUUCUAGAUCCAAACUUUAACAUUUUCUGUGGGAGCUUUGAGCUAAAAAGACCACUUAGGUUUGCCUCAAGUUGAGGCAAUUAAGCGGGGCCUUUGAAUUUCUCUAUCAGUCCUUGGUUGGGGGUGCCCCUUGGGAAGGGCUGCAACCUUGGCUGAGGCAGGUCCUGCAGGCUGGGGCUAUGCCCAGGUGAGGGAUGCAGAUUUGUAUCUUCAGCAGCCCCUACUCCUAUAAGGUGGAGGUUACCUAACACCCCUGCAUUGGUCUGAGGAGAGUGGGCAGAAUAC
Molecule: long non-coding RNA, 890 nt
Filed under: Marmota monax (woodchuck)
Lineage: Eukaryota; Metazoa; Chordata; Mammalia; Rodentia; Sciuridae
Source: RNAcentral